UUCUAUGGUGGUUCAGGCAGGGGAGGCUUUAGCCUCGCUGGAAGAACACUCCCGGUACUGCGAACCCUGUUUGAACUGCCACCACU
Molecule: non-coding RNA, 86 nt
Filed under: Xenorhabdus innexi
Lineage: Bacteria; Pseudomonadati; Pseudomonadota; Gammaproteobacteria; Enterobacterales; Morganellaceae
Also listed under: 1 other name
Source: RNAcentral